This 465-nucleotide ribosomal RNA is filed under the name uncultured bacterium. RNAcentral describes it as "partial 16S ribosomal RNA". It matches the Rfam family "Bacterial small subunit ribosomal RNA", at positions 28 to 505 of the family's 1533-position model. The record is from RNAcentral.
GACGAACGCUGGCGGUGUGCUUAACACAUGCAAGUCGAACGGAAAGGCCUCUUUCGGGGGGUACUCGAGUGGCGAACGGGUGAGUAACACGUGAGUAACCUGCCCUUGACUUUGGGAUAACUUCAGGAAACUGGGGCUAAUACCGGAUAGGAGCUCCUGCUGCAUGGUGGGGGUUGGAAAGUUUCGGCGGUUGGGGAUGGACUCGCGGCUUAUCAGCUUGUUGGUGGGGUAGUGGCUUACCAAGGCUUUGACGGGUAGCCGGCCUGAGAGGGUGACCGGCCACAUUGGGACUGAGAUACGGCCCAGACGCCUACGGGAGGCAGCAGUGGGGAAUAUUGCACAAUGGGUGGAAGCCUGAUGCAGCAACGCCGUGUGCGGGAUGACGGCCUUCGGGUUGUAAACCGCUUUCGCUCAUGACGAAGCUUUGUGUGACGGUAGUGGGUAAAGAAGCACCGGCUAACUACG